AUGGGCAUUACAGCACCCCAUAGCGCCCUCAACCCAAAACCGCCACCCCCCCCACAGCCGCACAGUGCAGCCCCAGAUAGCACACUUAACCCACCUCACUGUUGCAAUACAGUCUGGGAUAGUGCCCCCAACUGGCUCCCCGCCAAAGGCAGUGCAGCCCCGGCAGUGCCCCAAGGUCUGUGCAGAGCAGAACGCAGCUCCGCCCUCGCAACGCUCUCCGGGUCUGUGCCCAGGAGAACGCAGCUCCGCCCUUGCAAAGGCACACAGCGCCGGUGCCGGCGUGGCGGAGAGGCGGACAGCGGCGGAGAGGCGGACAGCGGCGGAGAGGCGGACAGCGGCGGAGAGGCGGACAGCGUUGGCGCGGCGGAGAGGCGGACAGCGGCGGCGUGGCGGAGAGGCGGGCAGCGGCGGCGCGGCGGAGAGGCGGUCAGCGGCGGAGAGGCGGUCAGCGGCGGCGCGGCGGAGAGGCGGUCAGCGGCGGAGAGGCGGACAGCGGCGGAGAGGCGGUCAGCGGCGGAGAGGCGGACAGCGGCGGAGAGGCGGUCAGCGGCGGAGAGGCGGUCAGCGGCGGCGCGGCGGAGAGGCGGUCAGCGGCGGCGAGGCGGAGAGGCGGACAGCGGCGGCGCGGCGGAGAGGCGGUCAGCGGCGGCGCGGCGGAGAGGCGGACAGCGGCGGCGCGGCGGAGAGGCGGACAGCGGCGGAGAGGCGGACCGCGGCGGCGCGGCGGAGAGGCGGUCCGCGGCGGCGCGGCGGAGAGGCGGACCGCGGCGGCGAGGCGGACCGUGGCGGCGCGGCGGAGAGGCGGAUAGCGGCGGCGCGGUGGAGAGGCAGACAGCGGCGGAGAGGCGCACAGCGGCGGCGCAGGCGCGGAGAGGCGCACAGCGGCGGCGCAGGCGCGGAGAGGCGCAGGCCCAGGCUCCACUCCCCAGCUGUGAAAGGAGGAGCUCUACGGUGACUUUGAAGACUUGGAAACAGGGGACGUGCACAAGGGAAAAUCGGGCCCCGACACUCAGGAAUGAAGAUAUAGAGAAACAAGGAAGAAAUUGACCCCGACGAAGAGGAAAGUGCCAAGAAAAAGCAUUUGGAUAAGAAGAGAAAAUUGAAGGAGAUGUUUGAUGUGGAAUAUGAUGAAGGAGAAAGCACAUAUUUUGAUGAUCUUAAAGGAGAAAUGCAGAAAGAAGCACAGAUGCGUCUGAAGAAACAUCGCUGGUAUAAGAAAAUCCUCAAGUCCCAAGAUCCAAUCAUAUUUUCUGUAGGGUGGAGGAGGUUUCAGACCAUCCUGCUCUAUUAUAAUGAAG
This is an RNA transcript of Gorilla gorilla gorilla (western lowland gorilla), 1298 nucleotides long. It is a transcript of the gene named translation initiation factor IF-2, with no coding region annotated. The transcript has 5 exons. The record is from RefSeq and is a predicted model, not a curated record. NCBI's taxonomy places the organism in Eukaryota, Metazoa, Chordata, Mammalia, Primates, Hominidae.